This 254-nucleotide ribosomal RNA is filed under the name uncultured bacterium. RNAcentral's name for it is "partial 16S ribosomal RNA". It matches the Rfam family "Bacterial small subunit ribosomal RNA", at positions 524 to 776 of the family's 1533-position model. The record is from RNAcentral.
UACGGAGGGUGCGAGCGUUGUCCGGAAUCACUGGGCGUAAAGGGCGCGUAGGCGGCCCUGUCGCGUCGGAUGUGAAAGCCCGGGGCUUAACCCCGGGUCUGCAUUCGAUACGGGCAGGCUAGAGUGUGGUAGGGGAGAUCGGAAUUCCUGGUGUAGCGGUGAAAUGCGCAGAUAUCAGGAGGAACACCGGUGGCGAAGGCGGAUCUCUGGGCCAUUACUGACGCUGAGGAGCGAAAGCGUGGGGAGCGAACAGG